AUACUUAGGGUGCAAGCGUUAAUCGGAAUUACUGGGCGUAAAGCGCUCGUAGGCGGCUUGUUAAGUCGGAUGUGAAAUCCCCGGGCUCAACCUGGGAACUGCAUUCGAUACUGGCAGGCUAGAGUAUAGUAGAGGCAAGUGGAAUUCCGGGUGUAGCGGUGAAAUGCGUAGAUAUCCGGAGGAACAUCAGUGGCGAAGGCGACUUGCUGGACUAAUACUGACGCUGAGGAGCGAAAGCGUGGGGAGCAAACAGGAUUAGAAACCCGAGUAGUCC
RNAcentral lists this ribosomal RNA (274 nucleotides) under uncultured bacterium. RNAcentral's name for it is "partial 16S ribosomal RNA". It matches the Rfam family "Bacterial small subunit ribosomal RNA", at positions 523 to 796 of the family's 1533-position model. The record is from RNAcentral.